This 497-nucleotide ribosomal RNA is filed under the name uncultured bacterium. RNAcentral's name for it is "partial 16S ribosomal RNA". It matches the Rfam family "Bacterial small subunit ribosomal RNA", at positions 28 to 507 of the family's 1533-position model. The record is from RNAcentral.
GACGAACGCUGGCGGCGUGCCUAAUACAUGCAAGUAGAACGCUGAAGCGAGGAGCUUGCUCUUCUUGGAUGAGUUGAGAACGGGUGAGUAACGUGUAGGUAACCUGCCUUGUAGCGGGGGAAAACUAGUGGACACGAUAGCUAAUACCGCAUAACAAUAGGUGACACAUGUCAUUUAUUUGAAAGGGGCAAUUGCUCCACUACAAGAUGGACCUUCGUUGUAUUAGUUGGUAGGUGGGGUAACGGCUCACUUAGGGGACGUUACCUAGCCGACCUGAGAGGGCGAUCGGCCACACUGGGACGGAGACACGCCCCAGUCUCCUACGGGAGGCAGCAGUAGGGAAUCGUCGGCAAGGGGGGCGACCCUGACCGAGAUACGCCGCGGGAGGGAAGAAGGUUGUCGGAUCGGAAAGCUCUGUUUUAGGCCAAGAACGAGUGUGAGAGUGGAAAGUUCACUCUGUGACGGUAGCUGAUCAGAAAGAGACGGCUAACUACGUG